GACGAACGCUGGCGGCGUGCUUAACACAUGCAAGUCGAACGGAAAGGCCCUGCUUUUGUGGGUUGCUCGAGUGGCGAACGGGUGAGUAACACGUGAGUAACCUGCCCUUGACUUUGGGAUAACUUCAGGAAACUGGGGCUAAUACCGGAUAGGAGCUCCUGCUGCAUGGUGGGGGUUGGAAAGUUUCGGCGGUUGGGGAUGGACUCGCGGCUUAUCAGCUUGUUGGUGGGGUAGUGGCUUACCAAGGCUUUGACGGGUAGCCGGCCUGAGAGGGUGACCGGCCACAUUGGGACUGAGAUACGGCCCAGUCUCCUACGGGAGGCAGCAGUGGGGAAUAUUGCACAAUGGGCGGAAGCCUGAUGCAGCAACGCCGCGUGCGGGAUGACGGCCUUCGGGUUGUAAACCGCUUUCGCCUGUGACGAAGCGUGAGUGACGGUAAUGGGUAAAGAAGCACCGGCUAACUACGUG
RNAcentral lists this ribosomal RNA (468 nucleotides) under uncultured bacterium. Its description in RNAcentral is "partial 16S ribosomal RNA". It matches the Rfam family "Bacterial small subunit ribosomal RNA", at positions 28 to 507 of the family's 1533-position model. The record is from RNAcentral.